Molecule: unclassified non-coding RNA, 689 nt
Filed under: Hevea brasiliensis (rubber tree)
Lineage: Eukaryota; Viridiplantae; Streptophyta; Magnoliopsida; Malpighiales; Euphorbiaceae
Source: RNAcentral
UGAGUAAUUUUCCUCAAUAUACCUACAAGAAAAUAUCAGUAUCAAUGAAGCUCACACAUAUCCACAUAUUAAAUCUCUAGUAUGGACAGUAGGAACAGUAAAAAAUAAAAUGAAUAGACAUUACUAGUAUGCUCCCCCUCUCUUAAAAUGGAUAAUCUGGACAAAAUGAGAUAAAGAACUUUGAGACACCUAAACAUCAUUGCCUAGUGCAGGGAACUUCAAUACCUCUAGAUGAGAUAUUUCAGCUCCACUUGGCAUAUUAUAUUUAACAAAAGGACAUUCUUUUCUACAGUUUGGUAAUCUAACAUGAUGCCAUUAGUUGCACAUUUUCUUUAGAUCUAAACUCCAACACAGUGCUCUGUUUGAUUGCUUAGACAAGAGGGAAAACUGACAGAGAAAGAGAGAUUUGUACUCUUUGAGCAGGCAACUUAUUGAUUAAGCCAAGAGUUGCACUAAAUUCAGUGAGCUAAGAAUUAUAGAAUAUGAUAAAUGGUCAACACAAUUCAAAUUUAAUGAAGCUUUAAUCUCUGUAAUUUCUUGUUUCUCAACAAUUAAACAUGGCAUUAAAGAAAUGCCAAAUCAUUACCGAACUGCGAUUCUACAUUAUUUGAAUGUGUUAGAAUAUAGCCAUGGAGAAAUAAAGGAGUCAAGGAGAUUCGUAUGGACAACCAUAUACAGCAGUUAAACAA